This 374-nucleotide ribosomal RNA is filed under the name uncultured eukaryote. RNAcentral describes it as "partial 18S ribosomal RNA". It matches the Rfam family "Eukaryotic small subunit ribosomal RNA", at positions 592 to 976 of the family's 1831-position model. The record is from RNAcentral.
CAAGAGCGUAUGUAAAAGUUGUUGCAGUUAAAAAGCUCGUAGUUGAACCUUGGGUUUGGUUGGCCGGUCCGCUUUUUUGCGAGUACUGGAUUCAACCGAGCCUUUCCUUCUGGCUAACCAGUCGUUUCGGCGGCUGGCGAACCAGGAUUUUUACUUUGAGAAAAUUAGAGUGUUCAAAGCAGGCAUUAGCUUGAAUAUAUUAGCAUGGAAUAAUAGAAUAGGACGUUAUGGUUCUAUUUUGUUGGUUUCUAGAACCAUCGUAAUGAUUAAUAGGGACGGUCGGGGGCAUCAGUAUUCAGUUGUCAGAGGUGAAAUUCUUGGAUUUACUGAAGACUAACUACUGCGAAAGCAUUUGCCAAGGACGUUUUCAUUAA